GCUCCUAUAGCUCAGCUGGAAGAGCGCAAGACUGAAGCGAAAUUGCCUUCAUUAGGAUUCAACAGUCCUUCUUGAGGUCACCUGUUCGAACCAGGUUGGGAGCA
Molecule: transfer RNA, 104 nt
Filed under: Malassezia brasiliensis
Lineage: Eukaryota; Fungi; Basidiomycota; Malasseziomycetes; Malasseziales; Malasseziaceae
Description: tRNA-Phe
Rfam family: tRNA
About the family: Transfer RNA (tRNA) molecules are approximately 80 nucleotides in length. Their secondary structure includes four short double-helical elements and three loops (D, anti-codon, and T loops).
Source: RNAcentral